CGUGUUUUGUAAACUUCUUUCUAGUGUUUGGUAAACUUCUUUUUAGUGUUUGGUAAACUUCUUUUUAGUGUUUGGUUAACUUCUUUUUCGUAUUUUGUAAACUUCUUGUUAGUGUUUUGCCAUAUCACUGUCAGUUUAUUUCGAACUGGUGCCCCUGACUGUACACUUAAAACAUUAACUUGAAUACACAAAACUUUAAAUAAAACAAAAAUGCUUGAAUGUCUGAAAA
This 229-nucleotide long non-coding RNA is filed under the name Mytilus galloprovincialis (Mediterranean mussel). The record is from RNAcentral. Lineage: Eukaryota; Metazoa; Mollusca; Bivalvia; Mytilida; Mytilidae.